GAUGAACGCUAGCGGGAGGCUUAACACAUGCAAGUCGAGGGGUAAGGUAGCAAUAUCUGAGACCGGCGCACGGGUGAGUAACGCGUAUGCAACCUGCCCUUUACAGGGGGAUAGCCCGUCGAAAGGCGGAUUAAUACCCCAUAAUAUUGUACCAUCGCAUGAUGGAACGAUAAAAGCUGAGGCGGUAAAGGAUGGGCAUGCGUGACAUUAGCUAGUUGGUAGGGUAACGGCCUACCAAGGCUACGAUGUCUAGGGGUUCUGAGAGGAAGGUCCCCCACACUGGUACUGAGACACGGACCAGACUCCUACGGGAGGCAG
Molecule: ribosomal RNA, 318 nt
Filed under: uncultured Bacteroidota bacterium
Lineage: Bacteria; Pseudomonadati; Bacteroidota
Description: bacterial SSU rRNA
Rfam family: Bacterial small subunit ribosomal RNA
Source: RNAcentral